GUUGUCGAAUGACGUACCAUCGACGAGCGUAACUGGCCCCAGAAAACAGCUGAAAAGGAAUCAGAAAACACAACCUGCUAAAGCACCACGCAAGAAGAAGAGCAAGUCUUCCAAGUCCGAGAGUGUGUCUGCGAGAUCCAUUGAAACUAAUCAAGCUACAAUGUACAUGUAACGUACAACCACCAUUUGAUUAGAUGCCUGUGAACAGCAAGACCAACAUCUGUAUCCUUUACAUUAGUGUUUGUUUCCAUUUUAUUAUGUAAUUCUUAUGUCUAAUCAUUAAGAUUCAUAGGCAAGUACAACAUGUAUGUGUACACAAUGAGUGCCUGCAUAUUGUGAAGAUAAAGGACCAUAAGACCAUUACUUAUGAUACAUGGUAAUGAUGGUAUACUUUGUAAAACUAUUUGAAAAUAGUAGCAUGUAAGUCUGUCAUUUUCUUGUUUAUAUAUAUCUCAAUGACAUGACAUGUCAUUGAUUUUGUAGUAAGUGUUUCUAGAUUAUGAUGAUUGUAUUAAGAUUUUGACAGUUCAAUUGAGAUUGAGAAAAUUAGGUAACAUGUCAACUGUACUAUAAAGCAUGCAUGCAUUGUUGAAAAAUCUGUUUUAUGAUUUAUUUUAUUUUGUUAUCUUUGUAAAUAACGAGAAAAAAAUAUUAUUUGUCAUGAUUUUCUUGAGGUUUGAAAAUGUUAUUACAUUAUUAAGAGCACUUUGUAAUAUUAAAUUGUAAUAAAAGAGACAGAAAACAACACUCUCAUGUCCAGAAUACUGCUUUAUUUGGUUACUAGUGAGGGAGAGAGCUUGUGAUCGCCUGGCAUAUCCGCAUCGGCUCAGUAAUAGUCCUGAAACUCACCUGAAUACUUUAUUUGAA
Strongylocentrotus purpuratus (purple sea urchin) is the source of this 867-nucleotide long non-coding RNA. RefSeq lists it as uncharacterized. Lineage: Eukaryota; Metazoa; Echinodermata; Echinoidea; Camarodonta; Strongylocentrotidae. The transcript is spliced from 3 exons. The record is from RefSeq and is a predicted model, not a curated record.